The sequence is a non-coding RNA, 356 nucleotides long. It matches the Rfam family "Alphaproteobacteria transfer-messenger RNA". From Rfam's summary of the family: Bacterial tmRNA, also known as 10Sa RNA or SsrA, is named for its dual tRNA and mRNA-like properties. Its role is to liberate the mRNA from a stalled ribosome. The record is from Rfam.
CCCCUUCCAACCGGGCGGGCAUGCCCCUAUAUUCGUUGUGCCGGCGCAAGCCGGCUAUGGCGAUAAACGGUUGUCGGAAUAAACCCAUCGGACCCGGGGGCAGUACCCGGCGCCUCCACCGGAACCCAUCCUUCAGGGUGGGCUGCGGCGGGGGCGAAACAGGAUCGACGGGGGCGUAAAGGGCAUUCUUUCGCUCGGCAUGGUACCGCCGUCAUCGGACCAAACUUAUAGUUGCCAACGACAACUAUGCUCCGGUUGCUCAGGCCGCGUGAGCGGUUUGAUCUACGGAAAAUAAGUCCUAGCGGGUAGCACCGUCGGGCGGGGUUCGGAGGCACCUGGCAACAGAAGCCUCCACU